Molecule: transfer RNA, 74 nt
Filed under: Flavobacteriaceae bacterium
Lineage: Bacteria; Pseudomonadati; Bacteroidota; Flavobacteriia; Flavobacteriales; Flavobacteriaceae
Also listed under: 3 other names
Description: tRNA-Met
Rfam family: tRNA
About the family: Transfer RNA (tRNA) molecules are approximately 80 nucleotides in length. Their secondary structure includes four short double-helical elements and three loops (D, anti-codon, and T loops).
Source: RNAcentral
GGCGAGGUAGCUCAGCCGGUUAGAGCGUCGGAUUCAUAACCCGGAGGUCGGGAGUUCAAGUCUCCCCCUCGCUA